This 74-nucleotide transfer RNA is filed under the name bacterium HR13. RNAcentral's name for it is "tRNA-Trp". It matches the Rfam family "tRNA". From Rfam's summary of the family: Transfer RNA (tRNA) molecules are approximately 80 nucleotides in length. Their secondary structure includes four short double-helical elements and three loops (D, anti-codon, and T loops). The record is from RNAcentral. RNAcentral also lists the same sequence under 2 other names.
GGGGCACUAGCUCAAUUGGCAGAGCGCGGGACUCCAAAUCCCGCGGUUGGGGGUUCGAGUCCUCCGUGCCCCGC